CUCUGUCUUUUGGAACAGAUCAAGUUCCUACCUUCAACUUCAGUCUAUUGGCAUCCUAUAUACACCUCAUUUGGCUCUGUCCUCUUCAAAAGGCCAGAUUAAAAGACACCUGGUGAGAAAAUAUUAGUGGAACACUUCUGAAAACACGCUAAGAAUACUCUGGCAUUACAGAGAAGUUGGAAAAAUAUUCAAGAGAACACCAUGAUCCAGAGCAAGGAGAGGGCUAAAGAAAUUCUCUGAUCAGCCUUCCCAUCCACAUAUCUGAUAACAACAUCUGUGUGCAAGUGUGUGCUACAAAUGGACGGAGCCUC
Non-coding RNA from Sturnus vulgaris (Common starling), 311 nucleotides. The record is from RefSeq and is a predicted model, not a curated record. NCBI's taxonomy places the organism in Eukaryota, Metazoa, Chordata, Aves, Passeriformes, Sturnidae.